AGAGUUUGAUCCUGGCUCAGGACGAACGCUGGCGGCGUGCCUAAUACAUGCAAGUCGAGCGGACUUAAAAAGCUUGCUUUUUAAGUUAGCGGCGGACGGGUGAGUAACACGUGGGCAACCUGCCUGUAAGACUGGGAUAACUUCGGGAAACCGGAGCUAAUACCGGAUAAUCCUUUUCUACCCAUGUAGAAAAGCUGAAAGACGGUUUACGCUGUCACUUACAGAUGGGCCCGCGGCGCAUUAGCUAGUUGGUGAGGUAACGGCUCACCAAGGCGACGAUGCGUAGCCGACCUGAGAGGGUGAUCGGCCACACUGGGACUGAGACACGGCCCAGACUCCUACGGGAGGCAGCAGUAGGGAAUCUUCCGCAAUGGACGAAAGUCUGACGGAGCAGCGCCGCGUGAGUGAUGAAGGUUUUCGGAUCGUAAAACUCUGUUGUUAGGGAAGAACAAGUACGAGAGUAACUGCUCGUACCUUGACGGUACCUAACCAGAAAGCCACGGCUAACUACGUGCCAGCAGCCGCGGUAAUACGUAGGUGGCAAGCGUUGUCCGGAAUUAUUGGGCGUAAAGCGCGCGCAGGCGGUCCUUUAAGUCUGAUGUGAAAGCCCACGGCUCAACCGUGGAGGGUCAUUGGAAACUGGGGGACUUGAGUGCAGAAGAGAAGAGUGGAAUUCCACGUGUAGCGGUGAAAUGCGUAGAGAUGUGGAGGAACACCAGUGGCGAAGGCGACUCUUUGGUCUGUAACUGACGCUGAGGCGCGAAAGCGUGGGGAGCAAACAGGAUUAGAUACCCUGGUAGUCCACGCCGUAAACGAUGAGUGCUAAGUGUUAGAGGGUUUCCGCCCUUUAGUGCUGCAGCAAACGCAUUAAGCACUCCGCCUGGGGAGUGCGGCCGCAAGGCUGAACUCAAAGGAAUUGAC
This 921-nucleotide ribosomal RNA is filed under the name uncultured Bacillus sp. RNAcentral describes it as "bacterial SSU rRNA". It matches the Rfam family "Bacterial small subunit ribosomal RNA", at positions 8 to 914 of the family's 1533-position model. Lineage: Bacteria; Bacillati; Bacillota; Bacilli; Caryophanales; Bacillaceae. The record is from RNAcentral.